This 483-nucleotide long non-coding RNA is filed under the name Chinchilla lanigera (long-tailed chinchilla). Its description in RNAcentral is "lncRNA (ENSCLAG00000023163.1)". The record is from RNAcentral. Lineage: Eukaryota; Metazoa; Chordata; Mammalia; Rodentia; Chinchillidae.
CAACAUCCUCUUUGCUUCCAGUAAUCCCAUUGUCCUUGCAACUUGCUGAACAGCUCCAGAUGUCCUCUUCGGUGAGUCUUUAGUUGCACUGUGCUGGCUGCCUCCACGUCCUCAGUCAAUUCAAAACGUUUACCCUUUGUAGCCAUAUUAACUUUGGGAAAGAGCCAGAAGUCUCACAGUACCAGAGCAAGGUGGAUGAGGACACACUGUGAUGCUUCUACGAGCCUGCCUUUCCGUCAGAUGGCACGCCGCAGCAGCUUUCACAUUUUUCUCAGCGCGCCCUGUAAAAACGUGAAAGGACUUCAGACUGCCUCAGAAAAUGACAAGAUUGAUUGUAUAAGCUUGUUUCAAGCAAUCUGUACUUGCCUUGUGCUCUGUCUUGUCGGGGCCGACCUGAUAACCUGGGACAUGCCGCUGGACGCUACAGUGAAGGACUGCAUCCCUCACAGAAACCCUUUCUCCCACAAAAAAAGCCCUCCUUAA